Long non-coding RNA from Ornithodoros turicata, 656 nucleotides. RefSeq lists it as uncharacterized. The record is from RefSeq and is a predicted model, not a curated record. Lineage: Eukaryota; Metazoa; Arthropoda; Arachnida; Ixodida; Argasidae. The transcript has 3 exons.
CACAUUCUGCAACGCGGGUGAAGAACGAUGUCAUUUAGCGCGCCGGUCAAGCCAAGCGUGUCGUGCUCCGGAACCUGUCUUCUGCAGGGUGUCUCGUCAUUUGUGCGUCGAAGAUCCGGGUUUUAAAGGACUGCACUGAGGAAGGACGUGAAAGAACAUUGAUCGGACGCGGACGCUCUCCCGAUGCCGUAUAGCGGACCUGCCCCAGGCUACAAUACGGAGCAGAUUCGCGGCUUGAUUCUCUUGGUUGUUACAACGUCGCCCUGCCGUCUCAGAACAUCCUUCGGACGUUCUGCCGGCCCAAACAACUUCAGAGCGGUCAGUCAACGUCCGUGGGACUCUUCGUGGUUUUGAGAAGCGAAGUGCGUCGCCCCUCGCUGGUGUCCACGCCUGGCGGUAGCCGAAAGCUGGACGGGAAGCGUGACAAAUGGACGAAAGGAACUUGCCCGACGCCUGCUAGUUGUUUGGAACGUAAGACGUUAAACAUCAUCUGUGGUAACCGCUGGUAUACGAAAUGCAAGUCUAGCGCGUCCAGUGCUGGUGACGCGUAGCUGGCGUUUGGAGACAAUUUGUUCUCAGACUGGCAUGUCCGUAUCUUGAGUACUGUACUCGAUAGAGCACUGCACGAGCUCCGGCUUACCCGAAAGCCCGGCCCA